RNAcentral lists this long non-coding RNA (1158 nucleotides) under Monodelphis domestica (gray short-tailed opossum). RNAcentral describes it as "lncRNA (ENSMODG00000035118.2)". Lineage: Eukaryota; Metazoa; Chordata; Mammalia; Didelphimorphia; Didelphidae. The record is from RNAcentral.
GCCCAAGGACAUCAUCAGAGGACAUUGGUAGCUUUGCAGUAACCUGCCUUGGUUGCUUACAUGUUCCCUGACCUACAUGUUUGCAAAUCCACAUAAUGUUUCUUGGUCAUGCAGGUUCCUAUAAAUGAUGUCUGUUCGCAGAAGACACCCAACCCUGUGAGAAGCAAGUCCUGCUCAGUGGAGAAGUGACUCCAGCAUGGAUAGCCCUUUGGUGAACUUCAUGAGAAUUCUGCUGUCUUGAGGAAAGAGAACCCUCCCAAUGUCAUGAUUUUGUGAAGAGUGAUGCUGGCCUCUUUGUUGUAUUCCAUCUUCUAUCUCUGAGUGUUUCUCCUGGAUGUCUUCUGUGCCUAGAACAUUCUCCAUCCUCAUCUGUGCCUCCUAACUUCCUUGGCUUCCUUCAGGUCUUAGCUAAUUCCUGGCAUUCUACAAGAAGACUUUCCCAGUCCUUGAUCUUAGUACCUCCCUCUGAAACUACUCCAGUGUUUAUCUUGUUGGUACAUAGUUGUUUAUACGUUGUCUCCUGCGUUAAACUGUGGGUUCCUUAAAAGCAAGGACAAUUUUUUGCCUUUUUUUGUAUUCACAAAACUUAGCAUAGUACCUGACAUAUAGAAAGCACUUAAUAAGUACUAGCUGACUUUGACUAUGACUAUACCAUUUUCAAAGAAAUUUAAUAACUUUUAAUUAUACAUUGAUGCAUUUUUUAAAACCCUUACCUUCCAUUUUAGAAUCAAUACUGUGUAUUGGUUCUAAGGUAGAAGAGUGGUCAGGGCAAGACAAUGGGGGUUAAGUGACUUGCCUAGGGUCACACAGCUAGGAAGUAUCUGAGAUCAGAUUUGAACCCAGCACCACCCCUUUUCUCUGGGCCUGACUCUCAAUCCACUGAGCCACCUAGCUGCUCUCUAUAUUGAUACACUUUAACUACAUUAUAAUUUCAUUUGUCUUUUUAAAUAUAAACUGCCCCCAUCCCCCCAUCCCUAACAGCAGUAGUAUUGCUCUAUCUCUUGGAGAAAAUCGUUUGUUUCCAUUAUGGUUGCUUAUAUGACUUAAUUUCCUGAAAUGAGUUUCCUCAUUUCAGUAUAUGUCUUUUGUUUUUCUUGUAUAAAAAAUGAUGCACUUAAGUUGAUUCAUGUACUAUCAAUAAAUUCUAUCCUUAUACCA